This is a non-coding RNA of Ameiurus melas (black bullhead), 72 nucleotides long. The record is from the annotation of a GenBank genome assembly. NCBI's taxonomy places the organism in Eukaryota, Metazoa, Chordata, Actinopteri, Siluriformes, Ictaluridae.
CCAGUGAUAGCUCAGUGGUUAAGGUGUUGGUCUACUGCUCAGAAGAUCUUGAGUUCAAAUGCCAUUGUUGAA